This 495-nucleotide ribosomal RNA is filed under the name uncultured bacterium. RNAcentral's name for it is "partial 16S ribosomal RNA". It matches the Rfam family "Bacterial small subunit ribosomal RNA", at positions 28 to 507 of the family's 1533-position model. The record is from RNAcentral.
GACGAACGCUGGCGGCGUGCCUAAUACAUGCAAGUCGAACGCUGACGUCGGAGCUUGCUUCUCUGGAUGAGUUGCGAACGGGUGAGUAACGCGUAGGUAACCUGCCUGGUAGCGGGGGAUAACUUUUUGAAACGAUAGCUAAUACCGCAUAAUAGUAGAUGUUGCAUGACAUUUGCUUAACAGGUUCAAUUGCAUCACUACCAGAUGGACCUGCGUUGUAUUAGCUAGUUGGUGGGGUAACGGCUCACCAAGGCGACGAUACAUAGCCGACCUGAGAGGGUGAGAGGCGACACUGGGACUGAGACACGGCCCAGACCACUACGAGAGGCAGCAGGAGGGAAUCUUUGCGAAUGGACGGAAGGGUGAACGAGGAACGCCGCGUGAGUGAAGAAGGUUGUCGGAUCGUAAAGCUCUGUUGUAAGAGAAGAACGAGUGUGAGUGUGGAAAGGGCACACAGUGACGGUACCUUACCAGAAAGGGACGGCUAACUACGUG